ACUGUCUCCCUAUUAAGACUCCUCACAUGUCCCCUCAGGCUCUCACACUGUACAGACACUAUGAGUGUUACUGGAAAACACGCUUCCUAAGAGAAAACUGAACUGAAUUAAUGGCUUUCACAUGAAACUCUUUUUAUUUUAAGUGUAAUUCUUAUUUUUGAAAUUACAUGAGUAAAUAUACUGUAGAAUAAACCCCAUUCCCCAAAGUUCUAUUCUUCCUCCAUGUAAAGCACCACUGUUAACAAUUUUGAUGUAUUAAAUGUAUUUUCAGUAAUGUUUUAAACUUAGUUUUUCCUGCUUAUAAUUGUAGAAAAUUUUGAGAUUAUAAAAAGAAAAAUCACUCACCACUCAAAAGCAAUGUGACAAAAAUUUUGCCUUGUUUCCUAUUG
Molecule: long non-coding RNA, 389 nt
Filed under: Bos taurus (domestic cattle)
Lineage: Eukaryota; Metazoa; Chordata; Mammalia; Artiodactyla; Bovidae
Description: long non-coding RNA NONBTAT010593
Source: RNAcentral